ACAGUGGUAGUUCAGGAGUAGAAUUCCCCCCUUCCAUGCAGGAGACCCAAGUUCAAUUCCUGGCCAAUGCA
RNAcentral lists this transfer RNA (71 nucleotides) under Loxodonta africana (African savanna elephant). It matches the Rfam family "tRNA". From Rfam's summary of the family: Transfer RNA (tRNA) molecules are approximately 80 nucleotides in length. The record is from Rfam by way of RNAcentral. Lineage: Eukaryota; Metazoa; Chordata; Mammalia; Proboscidea; Elephantidae.